RNAcentral lists this ribosomal RNA (497 nucleotides) under uncultured bacterium. Its description in RNAcentral is "partial 16S ribosomal RNA". It matches the Rfam family "Bacterial small subunit ribosomal RNA", at positions 28 to 507 of the family's 1533-position model. The record is from RNAcentral.
GAUGAACGCUGGCGGCGUGCCUAAUACAUGCAAGUCGAGCGAACAGAUGAGGAGCUUGCUCCUCUGACGUUAGCGGCGGACGGGUGAGUAACACGUGGAUAACCUACCUAUAAGACUGGGAUAACUUCGGGAAACCGGAGCUAAUACCGGAUAAUAUAUUGAACCGCAUGGUUCAUUAGUGAAAGACGGUUUUGCUGUCACUAAUAGAUGGAUCCUCGCCGCAUUAGCUAGUUGGUAAGGUAACGGCUUACCAAGGCAACGAUGCGUAGCCGAACUGAGAGGGUGAUCGGCCACACUGGAACUGAGACACGGUCCAGACUCCUACGGGAGGCAGCAGUAGGGAAUCUUCCGCAAUGGGCGAAAGCCUGACGGAGCAACGCCGCGUGAGUGAUGAAGGUCUUCGGAUCGUAAAACUCUGUUAUUAGGGAAGAACAAAUGUGUAAGUAACUAUGCACGUCUUGACGGUACCUAAUCAGAAAGCCACGGCUAACUACGUG